This 496-nucleotide ribosomal RNA is filed under the name Petasospora xylosilytica. RNAcentral's name for it is "Cyberlindnera xylosilytica partial 28S ribosomal RNA". It matches the Rfam family "Eukaryotic large subunit ribosomal RNA", at positions 136 to 648 of the family's 3401-position model. The record is from RNAcentral. Lineage: Eukaryota; Fungi; Ascomycota; Saccharomycetes; Phaffomycetales; Wickerhamomycetaceae.
GCUCGAGUUGUAAUUUGAAGGUAGUUUUCUGGUGCUGGCCCUUGUCUAUGUUCCUUGGAACAGGACGUCAUAGAGGGUGAGAAUCCCGUCUGAUGGGGUGUCCAGUGCUUUGUAGAUUUCUACCGAAGAGUCGAGUUGUUUGGGAAUGCAGCUCUAAGUGGGUGGUAAAUUCCAUCUAAAGCUAAAUAUUGGCGAGAGACCGAUAGCGAACAAGUACAGUGAUGGAAAGAUGAAAAGAACUUUGAAAAGAGAGUGAAAAAGUACGUGAAAUUGUUGAAAGGGAAGGGUAUUGGAUCAGACUUGGUGUUUUGUGAUUAUCUUCCCUUCUUGGGUUGUGCACUCGCAUUUCACUGGGCCAGCAUCGAUUCGGAUGGUAAGAUAAUGGCUUGAGAACGUGGCACUCUUCGGGGUGUGUUAUAGCUCUUGUUGAUGUUGCCUAUCUGGAUCGAGGACUGCGGCUUUUGCCUAGGAUGCUGGCGUAAUGAUUCAAUACCGC